Long non-coding RNA from Suricata suricatta (meerkat), 193 nucleotides. RefSeq lists it as uncharacterized. Lineage: Eukaryota; Metazoa; Chordata; Mammalia; Carnivora; Herpestidae. The record is from RefSeq and is a predicted model, not a curated record. The transcript has 4 exons.
AUAAUGUACAAAGAAAGAGAAGAGCUACCCAAUGAUACAGAAGAAGGUUUUAGGGGAGGAAGAAAUCUUGCAUUUGGGGCUGGUGGGCCGAGGGGCAGCUUACAGAGAGAAUACAAACAUAAAGUGACCUUUCACUCUAAUUCUUCAGCUUUGUUACAUCUGAAACCUACUGUGUAACUCUUGUUGAUGUUCA